This 496-nucleotide ribosomal RNA is filed under the name uncultured bacterium. RNAcentral describes it as "partial 16S ribosomal RNA". It matches the Rfam family "Bacterial small subunit ribosomal RNA", at positions 28 to 507 of the family's 1533-position model. The record is from RNAcentral.
GAUGAACGCUGGCGGCGUGCCUAAUACAUGCAAGUCGAGCGAACAGACGAGGAGCUUGCUCCUCUGACGUUAGCGGCGGACGGGUGAGUAACACGUGGAUAACCUACCUAUAAGACUGGGAUAACUUCGGGAAACCGGAGCUAAUACCGGAUAACAUGUUGAACCGCAUGUUCAACAGUCAAAGACGGUCUUGCUGUCGCUUAUAGAUGGAUCCGCGCCGCAUUAGCUAGUUGGUAAGGUAACGGCUUACCAAGGCAACGAUGCGUAGCCGACCUGAGAGGGUGAUCGGCCACACUGGAACUGAGACACGGUCCAGACUCCUACGGGAGGCAGCAGUAGGGAAUCUUCCGCAAUGGGCGAAAGCCUGACGGAGCAACGCCGCGUGAGUGAAGAAGGUCUUCGGAUCGUAAAACUCUGUUAUUAGGGAAGAACAAAUGUGUAAGUAACUAUGCACGUCUUGACGGUACCUAAUCAGAAAGCCACGGCUAACUACGUG